AUUGAACGCUGGCGGCAUGCUUUACACAUGCAAGUCGAACGGGCUUGGGGGCUUGCUCCCAAGUUAGUGGCGAACGGGUGAGUAAUACAUCGGAACGUACCGUGUAGUGGGGGGUAACGUAGCGAAAGUUACGCUAAUACCGCAUACAAUCUACGGAUGAAAGCAGGGGACCUUCGGGCCUUGUGCUAUACGAGCGGCCGAUGUCUGAUUAGCUAGUUGGUGAGGUAAAGGCUCACCAAGGCGACGAUCAGUAGCGGGUCUGAGAGGAUGAUCCGCCACACUGGGACUGAGACACGGCCCAGACUCCUACGGGAGGCAGCAGUGGGGAAUUUUGGGACAAUGGGCGAAAGCCUGAUCCAGCCAUGCCGCGUGUCUGAAGAAGGCC
Molecule: ribosomal RNA, 385 nt
Filed under: uncultured bacterium
Lineage: Bacteria
Description: bacterial SSU rRNA
Rfam family: Bacterial small subunit ribosomal RNA
Source: RNAcentral